RNAcentral lists this ribosomal RNA (439 nucleotides) under uncultured bacterium. RNAcentral describes it as "partial 16S ribosomal RNA". It matches the Rfam family "Bacterial small subunit ribosomal RNA", at positions 339 to 795 of the family's 1533-position model. The record is from RNAcentral.
CUACGGGUUGCUCCAGUGGGGAAUAUUGCACAAUGGGGGGAACCCUGAUGCAGCAACGCCGCGUGGAGGAUGGCGCAUUUCGGUGUGUAAACUCCUUUUAUAUGUCAAGAAAAUGACGGUAGCAUAUGAAUAAGCACCGGCUAACUCCGUGCCAGCAGCCGCGGUAAUACGGAGGGUGCAAGCGUUACUCGGAAUCACUGGGCGUAAAGGACGCGUAGGCGGGUUGGAAAGUCAGGUGUGAAAUCCUACAGCUUAACUGUAGAACUGCACUUGAAACUUCUAAUCUAGAGUAUGGGAGGGGGAGAUGGAAUUAGUGGUGUAGGGGUAAUAUCCGUAGAUAUCACUAGGAAUACCUAAAGCGAAGGCGAUCUCCUGGAACAUUACUGACGCUAAGGCGUGAAAGCGUGGGGAGCAAACAGGAUUAGAUACCCGCGUAGUC